GGUGAACGCUGGCGGCGGGCUUAACACAUGCAAGUCGAACGGAAAGGCCCUGCUUGCGUGCUGUUCCCGAGUGGGGAACGCGUGAGGGAGAGGUGUGUAACGGGCUCUUGAUUUUCGGGGAGGUUCAGGAAACGGGGGCUAAGAUCGUAUAGGAUCUCCUGUUGGGGUGUGAGCAGGGGAAAUUUUCGGCGGGUGGGGAUGGACUCGCGGAUGACCGGCUUGUUGGUGGGGUAGUGGCAUACCAAGGCUUUGACGGGUAGCCGGCAGGAGUGGGUGACCGGCCACAUUGGGACUGAGAUACGGCCCAGACUGCAACGGGAGGCAACAGUGGCGAGUAUUGCACAAUGGGACGACGCCUGAUGCAGAGACGCCGCGUGCGGGAUGACGGCCUUCGGGUUGUAAACCGCUUUAGCCUGUGACGAAGCGUGAGUGACGGUAAUGGGUAAAGAAGCACCGGCUAACUACGUG
This 468-nucleotide ribosomal RNA is filed under the name uncultured bacterium. RNAcentral describes it as "partial 16S ribosomal RNA". It matches the Rfam family "Bacterial small subunit ribosomal RNA", at positions 28 to 507 of the family's 1533-position model. The record is from RNAcentral.